This 83-nucleotide small RNA is filed under the name Marmota monax (woodchuck). Lineage: Eukaryota; Metazoa; Chordata; Mammalia; Rodentia; Sciuridae. The record is from RNAcentral.
GCUGGGCGUGGUGGCACACGCCUGUAAUCCCAGCGGCUGGGGAGGCUGAGGCAGGAGGAUUGCAAGUUGAAGGCCAGCCUCAG